AUGGGGUGGCGAGGCUGGGCGCAGAGAGGCUGGGGCUGCGGCUCAGCGUGGGCUCCCCUGGUGCGCAGCAGCAGCUGCGAGGAGCUCACUGCGGUUCUAGCCCCGCCGCAGCUGCUUAGACGCAGGUUUAACUUCUUUAUUCAGAAAAAAAUGUGGUUCAGAAAAGAACCCAGUAAGGUUGAACCUCGAAGAUCAGACACGGCAACAAGUGGUGAAGCAUACAAGAGAAGUGCUUUGAUUCCUCUGGUGGAAGAAACAGUCUUUUAUCUUUCUCCCUAUCCUAUAAGGACUCUCAUAAAACCUUUAUUUUUUUACUGUUGGGUUUACAGGCUGUGCAUUUGGAUCAGCUGCUAUUUGGCAAUACGAAUCACUGAAAUCCAGGGGUCCAGAGUUAUUUUGAUGGCAUAAAAGCUGAUUGGUUGGAUAGCAUAAGACCACAAAAAGAAGGAGACUUCAGAAAGGAGAUUAACAAGCGGUGGAAUAACCUAAGUGAUGGCCAGCGGACUCAGGUAUCAUAGCUGCAAACGUCCUUGUAUUCUGUUUGUGGAGAGUACCUUCUCUGCAGUGGACAGUGAUCUGAUAUUUCAAAUCUAAUCCAGCCUCAAAAGUCCGUUGUUCUCCAAUGUUGCUGUCAACAUUCAAUCAUUUCUCCUUAUUUCACAUGGCAGCAAAUAUGUAUGUUUUGUGGAGCUUCUCCUUCAGUAUAGUGAACAUUCUGGGUCAAGAGCAGUUCAUGGCAGUGUACCUAUCUGCAGGUGUUAUUUCCAAUUUUGUCAGUUAUGUGUGUAAAGUUGCCACACGAAGAUAUGGACCAUCACUUGGUGCAUCUCGCGCCAUCAUGAUGAUCCUCGCAGCUGUCCGCACUAAGAUCCCAGAAGGGAGGCUUGCCAUUAUUUACUUCCAAUGUUCACAUUCACAGCAGGAAAUGCCCUACAAUCCAUUAACGCCACGGAUAUGGCAGGAAUGAUCCUGGGACGGAAAUUUUUUGAUUAUGCAGCACAUCUUGGGGGAGCUCUCUUUGGAAUAUGGUAUGUUACUUACCCUCAUGAACUGAUUUGGAAGAACAGGGAGCCUCUAGUGAAAAUCUGGCAUGAAAUGAGGACUAAUGCCCCCCCAAACAAGAGGUGGCUCUAAGUAA
Molecule: long non-coding RNA, 1138 nt
Filed under: Homo sapiens (human)
Lineage: Eukaryota; Metazoa; Chordata; Mammalia; Primates; Hominidae
Description: non-protein coding lnc-AIG1-4:1
Source: RNAcentral